CUCUUUUUGCUUGCCAAUAAUUGAUAAGAGAUUGAUGCACUUUCCAUAUUGUUGAAAUCAGUUUCCUUCCUGUCUUAAUUGCAAUCACAAUAACCACGCUUUUGUAAUAGACCAUUCAGAAAACCCUAAAUCUCAAACACAAAAAUUAUCAUUCAGACCCCAAGAUUUCUUUAUCUUCAAUCGUGAUUGAAAGCAAACAGUCUUCAUGGAGAAAUUGAUUGAAAGCAAAAUUUAGGGUUUAUAGAAUUAGAGGCAGAAUUUAUCAGGAUGUUUGAAGUUUGGAAUCCAGGCUAAGGAAGUUGCUGGGUUGCUUGGCUAACGAAGCUGUUGUGACAAACUCUUAGCCAAAAUUGAUUGUUGUUGGCACAUGCUCCACUAUAUAAGUAUGCUUGAAUCUACAAGGAAAUUGCUUCAAAUCUUACCCAUCCAGGAGAAACUGUUAAUCAUGCAACCAUUGAUGACGAUGAUGAUGUGUACAACAUUCACAACAUGUAGAUCUUGUGAUAUACGGGUCGUUUAUUGAAGAACAAUCUUUUUUCCGACAUUCUAAUUAAAGCAAUGUGCCAUGAGAAACCAAUAAUAGGUCCUGACAUGUUGAUGAAAAGGUCAAUGCCUACCUCUUUCCUAAGGAGCAUAUAAUGGUUUUAAUUUUUAGCAUAGAUUAUAAUAACAGGAGGUAAAUUUUUCAAUCCCUAUUAGCUAUCAGUAUGUCAUUUGUUAAACUGUCCAAAAGAAGUCCCAAUGCUUUGUUUA
Long non-coding RNA from Helianthus annuus (common sunflower), 753 nucleotides. RefSeq lists it as uncharacterized. The transcript is spliced from 5 exons. NCBI's taxonomy places the organism in Eukaryota, Viridiplantae, Streptophyta, Magnoliopsida, Asterales, Asteraceae. The record is from RefSeq and is a predicted model, not a curated record.